Molecule: ribosomal RNA, 1441 nt
Filed under: uncultured organism
Description: 16S ribosomal RNA
Rfam family: Bacterial small subunit ribosomal RNA
Source: RNAcentral
CAGGCUUAACACAUGCAAGUCGAGGGGCAUCAGGAAGAAAGCUUGCUUUCUUUGCUGGCGACCGGCGCACGGGUGAGUAACACGUAUCCAACCUGCCCUUUACUCGGGGAUAGCCUUUCGAAAGAAAGAUUAAUACCCGAUAGCAUAAUGAUUCCGCAUGGUUUCAUUAUUAAAGGAUUCCGGUAAAGGAUGGGGAUGCGUUCCAUUAGGUUGUUGGUGAGGUAACGGCCCACCAAGCCUUCGAUGGAUAGGGGUUCUGAGAGGAAGGUCCCCCACAUUGGAACUGAGACACGGUCCAAACUCCUACGGGAGGCAGCAGUGAGGAAUAUUGGUCAAUGGGCGCUAGCCUGAACCAGCCAAGUAGCGUGAAGGAUGAAGGCUCUAUGGGUCGUAAACUUCUUUUAUAUAAGAAUAAAGUGCAGUACGUAUACUGUUUUGUAUGUAUUAUAUGAAUAAGGAUCGGCUAACUCCGUGCCAGCAGCCGCGGUAAUACGGAGGAUCCGAGCGUUAUCCGGAUUUAUUGGGUUUAAAGGGAGCGUAGGUGGACUGGUAAGUCAGUUGUGAAAGUUUGCGGCUCAACCGUAAAAUUGCAGUUGAUACUGUCAGUCUUGAGUACAGUAGAGGUGGGCGGAAUUCGUGGUGUAGCGGUGAAAUGCUUAGAUAUCACGAAGAACUCCGAUUGCGAAGGCAGCUCACUGGACUGCAACUGACACUGAUGCUCGAAAGUGUGGGUAUCAAACAGGAUUAGAUACCCUGGUAGUCCACACAGUAAACGAUGAAUACUCGCUGUUUGCGAUAUACAGUAAGCGGCCAAGCGAAAGCAUUAAGUAUUCCACCUGGGGAGUACGCCGGCAACGGUGAAACUCAAAGGAAUUGACGGGGGCCCGCACAAGCGGAGGAACAUGUGGUUUAAUUCGAUGAUACGCGAGGAACCUUACCCGGGCUUAAAUUGCAGUGGAAUGAUGUGGAAACAUGUCAGUGAGCAAUCACCGCUGUGAAGGUGCUGCAUGGUUGUCGUCAGCUCGUGCCGUGAGGUGUCGGCUUAAGUGCCAUAACGAGCGCAACCCUUAUCUUUAGUUACUAACAGGUUAUGCUGAGGACUCUGGAGAGACUGCCGUCGUAAGAUGUGAGGAAGGUGGGGAUGACGUCAAAUCAGCACGGCCCUUACGUCCGGGGCUACACACGUGUUACAAUGGGGGGUACAGAAGGCAGCUAGCGGGUGACCGUAUGCUAAUCCCAUAAGCCUCUCUCAGUUCGGAUCGAAGUCUGCAACCCGACUUCGUGAAGCUGGAUUCGCUAGUAAUCGCGCAUCAGCCACGGCGCGGUGAAUACGUUCCCGGGCCUUGUACACACCGCCCGUCAAGCCAUGGGAGCCGGGGGUACCUGAAGUACGUAACCGCAAGGAUCGUCCUAGGGUAAAACUGGUGACUGGGGCUAAGUC